AGCAGUGUCGCUAUGCGUCUUCGCCGACUGUGCGGAGCAACGGUACGAAACACAUGCGAGAG
RNAcentral lists this small nucleolar RNA (62 nucleotides) under Bodo saltans. RNAcentral describes it as "Trypanosomatid snoRNA TB10Cs3H1". It matches the Rfam family "Trypanosomatid snoRNA TB10Cs3H1". Lineage: Eukaryota; Euglenozoa; Kinetoplastea; Eubodonida; Bodonidae. The record is from Rfam by way of RNAcentral.